Molecule: ribosomal RNA, 278 nt
Filed under: uncultured prokaryote
Description: partial 16S ribosomal RNA
Rfam family: Bacterial small subunit ribosomal RNA
Source: RNAcentral
UACGUAGGGGGCUAGCGUUAUCCGGAAUUACUGGGGCGUAAAGGGUGCGUAGGCGGUCUUUCAAGCCAGAAGUGAAAGGCUACGGCUCAACCGUAGUAAGCUUUUGGAACUGUAAGACUUGAGUGCAGGAGAGGAGAGUGGAAUUCCUAGUGUAGCGGUGAAAUGCGUAGAUAUUAGGAGGAACACCAGUAGCGAAGGCGGCUCUCUGGACUGUAACUGACGCUGAGGCACGAAAGCGUGGGGAGCAAACAGGAUUAGAUACCCGGGUAGUCCCUGAG